Molecule: long non-coding RNA, 686 nt
Filed under: Struthio camelus australis
Lineage: Eukaryota; Metazoa; Chordata; Aves; Struthioniformes; Struthionidae
Description: lncRNA (ENSSCUG00000011218.1)
Source: RNAcentral
AUCUUUCCAUAUCCGUGCAAAUAGAGCUGAUGCCAAAAGGUGAUCAGAAGAUGAAGGAACCUCAAGAAACUUGCCCCCUACCAAAGUCAAGUCCUUUAAAUAAGUGAGUUUAAGAAAUACUUGCUGGAAACCUUAACAAUGGAAUUCGGUAUGUAAAUUAGUUUCAACAGGCUAAGCUCUGAGAAAGACUCUCUCAUCCGCACCUGUGAACCAUAGCAAAAAACUGCUGUUAAUUCUGAGAGGUGUAUGUCUCGGGACAGAGUCCUGAUAACACAGUGACUACUAUAAAGCUACGUUCGUACAAAUGUUUUAAGGAGUGCUCUGUUUUCUGUCACAUCAAGAAGUUAUCGCUGACAGGAUGCCUCGCUGGAAGUGAAAUCUCAACACUAGGGACCGUCCGUGGUGCAUUUACACAUGCCCAGUUUCUACUACGAAUGACUAUCAGUACUCCUACGUAUCAAUUGAAGAGAUUACUAGUCCUGUUACGGCUUUUUCAGAACUGCUGGCUGCAAUUUGCCCAACAGAUACGAGCACAAUUUACUCUGGGCUUGCAUAGCACUUAACACGCACUUCCAUGGCGGAUGCCCAAAUUAUUCUUUGCUGCUUCGUGACUGAUUGUUAUGCCUGGGAAAAUGAACUGCAGUAAGUGCUCAGUUGACCUGAAUUUUCAUGAACAAAUAGUUAUU